AGAACGAACGCUGGCGGCAGGCUUAACACAUGCAAGUCGAACGCACCGCAAGGUGAGUGGCAGACGGGUGAGUAACGCGUGGGAAUCUACCCAAUACUACGGAAUAGCUCCGGGAAACUGGAAUUAAUACCGUAUGUGCCCUACGGGGGAAAGAUUUAUCGCCGGAGGAUUGGCCCGCGUUCGAUUAGCUUGUUGGUGAGGUAACGGCUCACCAAGGCGAUGAUCGAUAGCUGGUCUGAGAGGAUGAUCAGCCACAUUGGGACUGAGACACGGCCCAAACUCCUACGGGAGGCAGCAGUGGGGAAUAUUGGACAAUGGGCGCAAGCCUGAUCCAGCCAUGCCGCGUGAGUGAUGACGGCCUUAGGGUUGUAAAGCUCUUUCGCUCGGGACGAUAAUGACGGUACCGAGAUAAGAAGCCCGGCUAACUUCGCGCCAGCAGCCGC
RNAcentral lists this ribosomal RNA (443 nucleotides) under uncultured bacterium. RNAcentral describes it as "SSU rRNA". It matches the Rfam family "Bacterial small subunit ribosomal RNA", at positions 26 to 518 of the family's 1533-position model. The record is from RNAcentral.